ACACAUGAUUAUGGACCACAAUUAUACGGUGUUUCGUUAAGAUUACGAGUUUGAGUGGCAGAUGAAAACUUUGAUUUAUUGUUUAGAAAUAUUGAUGAAGACGAUUGUAAAAUGAUCGGGAAUGAGCACUUUGCAUUACUGUGGCUUCAUUACAUAUGGUAGAAGAGUUACUUAAUGAAUCCGUUGGGGAACAGUGAGGGCUGACAAAUGUGUUACUCGCAUAACCCCUCGAUCAAUCCUGUGGGAGCCGGGCCCCCGGCCGCGACACAUCGCCGGCCGCCGCUCCAUUACACACGACAAGUAAAAACGACUCUACGCGUUCUGCUGGUCAGCUCUACGUUGAGGUCGGCCUAGUGUGGACAUCCCUCAAACUAUUUUAUAUUUUAUAAACUUUUUUUUAUUGCUUAUGUGGUUGGACGAGCACACAACCCACCUGGUGUUACGUGGUUACUGGAGCCCAUAGACAUCUACAACGCAAAUGCGCCACCCACCUUGAGAUAUAAGUUUUAAGGUCUCAGUAUAGUUACAACGCCUACCUUACCCUUCAAGCCAAAACACAUUAGGUACUGCUUCACGGCAGAACUAGGCGGGGUGGUGGUACCUACGCGCGUGGACUUACAAGAGGUCCUACCACCAGUUGUUAAUGUUACGUAUUCUUAUUAAAAUACUUUAUUUUACUAUUUUCAGGUUUAUUUAUUUAUUUAAACACACCAACAGCAAUACACACAAAACAUUCAAGCUUAAAAUUAACAAUAUGGAUAAAAUUAAGUACGCCAGUAACAGGCAUGUACAGUAACCCCUUAUAACACACACUAUGACAUGUUACAGCAAUUUUACAAAAAGCGGAAAAAAUAGUUAAAUUUAAAUGUUAACAGUACAACAUAAAAAAAAAAAAAUUUAAAAAGAAAAUAAUAACAAGAGUAAACUACUUAACAUUCUCUCAUCAAUUAUAAACAAAGAAACUAGUUGGAUUCUAUUGAAUACAUAAUAUAUAAGUAAUGAUAUGGAGUAGGUAUUUUAGAAUGAAUAAACAAUAAAAGAUAUGAUUGUGUUUUCUGUGAUAUAAUGCAGAAAACAACAUUUAAAGCCAUGUCUUUUAAAAUAAAAUUAAAAAAUUAAGCAGUAAACAGUAUUAAUAAACUAUACCAAAUUGAA
This is a long non-coding RNA of Bombyx mori (domestic silkworm), 1155 nucleotides long. RefSeq lists it as uncharacterized. Lineage: Eukaryota; Metazoa; Arthropoda; Insecta; Lepidoptera; Bombycidae. The record is from RefSeq and is a predicted model, not a curated record. The transcript is spliced from 2 exons.